RNAcentral lists this ribosomal RNA (468 nucleotides) under uncultured bacterium. RNAcentral describes it as "partial 16S ribosomal RNA". It matches the Rfam family "Bacterial small subunit ribosomal RNA", at positions 28 to 507 of the family's 1533-position model. The record is from RNAcentral.
GACGAACGCUGGCGGCGUGCUUAACACAUGCAAGUCGAACGGAAAGGCCCUGCUUUUGUGGGGUGCUCGAGUGGCGAACGGGUGAGUAACACGUGAGUAACCUGCCCUUGACUUUGGGAUAACUUCAGGAAACUGGGGCUAAUACCGGAUAGGAGCUCCUGCUGCAUGGUGGGGGUUGGUAAGUUUCGGCGGUUGGGGAUGGACUCGCGGCUUAUCAGCUUGUUGGUGGGGUAGUGGCUUACCAAGGCUUUGACGGGUAGCCGGCCUGGGAGGGUGACCGGCCACCUUGGGACUGAGAUACGGCCCAGACUCCUACGGGAGGCAGCAGUGGGGAAUAUUGCACAAUGGGCGGAAGCCUGAUGCAGCAACGCCGCGUGCGGGAUGACGGCCUUCGGGUUAUAAACCGCUUUCGCCUGUGACGAAGCGUGAGUGACGGUAAUGGGUAAAGAAGCACCGGCUAACUACGUG